RNAcentral lists this ribosomal RNA (253 nucleotides) under uncultured bacterium. RNAcentral describes it as "partial 16S ribosomal RNA". It matches the Rfam family "Bacterial small subunit ribosomal RNA", at positions 524 to 776 of the family's 1533-position model. The record is from RNAcentral.
UACGGAGGAGGCAAGCGUUAUCCGGAAUUAUUGGGCGUAAAGCGUCCGUAGGUGGUUGUACAAGUCUUUUGUCAAAGCGCGAGGCUUAACUUCGUAAGGGCAGGAGAAACUGUAGAGCUAGAGUGCGGUAGGGGUAGAGGGAAUUCCCAGUGUAGCGGUGAAAUGCGUAGAUAUUGGGAAGAACACCGGUGGCGAAAGCGCUAUACUGGGCAUGCACUGACACUGAGGGACGAAAGCUAGGGGAGCGAAAGGG